RNAcentral lists this ribosomal RNA (2900 nucleotides) under Klebsiella quasipneumoniae. RNAcentral's name for it is "23S ribosomal RNA". It matches the Rfam family "Bacterial large subunit ribosomal RNA". The record is from RNAcentral. Lineage: Bacteria; Pseudomonadati; Pseudomonadota; Gammaproteobacteria; Enterobacterales; Enterobacteriaceae.
UUAAGCGACUAAGCGUACACGGUGGAUGCCCUGGCAGUCAGAGGCGAUGAAGGACGUGCUAAUCUGCGAAAAGCGUCGGUAAGGUGAUAUGAACCGUUAUAGCCGGCGAUGUCCGAAUGGGGAAACCCAGUGCAAUUCGUUGCACUAUCGUUAACUGAAUACAUAGGUUAACGAGGCGAACCGGGGGAACUGAAACAUCUAAGUACCCCGAGGAAAAGAAAUCAACCGAGAUUCCCCCAGUAGCGGCGAGCGAACGGGGAGCAGCCCAGAGUCUGAAUCAGCUUGUGUGUUAGUGGAACGGUCUGGAAAGUCCGACGGUACAGGGUGAUAGUCCCGUACACCAAAAUGCACAGGCUGUGAACUCGAAGAGUAGGGCGGGACACGUGGUAUCCUGUCUGAAUAUGGGGGGACCAUCCUCCAAGGCUAAAUACUCCUGACUGACCGAUAGUGAACCAGUACCGUGAGGGAAAGGCGAAAAGAACCCCGGCGAGGGGAGUGAAAAAGAACCUGAAACCGUGUACGUACAAGCAGUGGGAGCACCUUUAUGGUGUGACUGCGUACCUUUUGUAUAAUGGGUCAGCGACUUAUAUUCUGUAGCAAGGUUAACCGUAUAGGGGAGCCGCAGGGAAACCGAGUCUUAACUGGGCGUUAAGUUGCAGGGUAUAGACCCGAAACCCGGUGAUCUAGCCAUGGGCAGGUUGAAGGUUGGGUAACACUAACUGGAGGACCGAACCGACUAAUGUUGAAAAAUUAGCGGAUGACUUGUGGCUGGGGGUGAAAGGCCAAUCAAACCGGGAGAUAGCUGGUUCUCCCCGAAAGCUAUUUAGGUAGCGCCUCGUGAACUCAUCUUCGGGGGUAGAGCACUGUUUCGGCUAGGGGGUCAUCCCGACUUACCAACCCGAUGCAAACUACGAAUACCGAAGAAUGUUAUCACGGGAGACACACGGCGGGUGCUAACGUCCGUCGUGAAGAGGGAAACAACCCAGACCGCCAGCUAAGGUCCCAAAGUCAUGGUUAAGUGGGAAACGAUGUGGGAAGGCACAGACAGCCAGGAUGUUGGCUUAGAAGCAGCCAUCAUUUAAAGAAAGCGUAAUAGCUCACUGGUCGAGUCGGCCUGCGCGGAAGAUGUAACGGGGCUAAACCAUGCACCGAAGCUGCGGCAGCGACACUAUGUGUUGUUGGGUAGGGGAGCGUUCUGUAAGCCUGCGAAGGUGACCUGUGAGGGUUGCUGGAGGUAUCAGAAGUGCGAAUGCUGACAUAAGUAACGAUAAAGCGGGUGAAAAGCCCGCUCGCCGGAAGACCAAGGGUUCCUGUCCAACGUUAAUCGGGGCAGGGUGAGUCGACCCCUAAGGCGAGGCCGAAAGGCGUAGUCGAUGGGAAACAGGUUAAUAUUCCUGUACUUGGUGUUACUGCGAAGGGGGGACGGAGAAGGCUAUGUUAGCCGGGCGACGGUUGUCCCGGUUUAAGCAUGUAGGCUGGUUAUCCAGGCAAAUCCGGAUAAUCAAGGCUGAGGUGUGAUGACGAGGCACUACGGUGCUGAAGUAACAAAUGCCCUGCUUCCAGGAAAAGCCUCUAAGCAUCAGGUAACAUCAAAUCGUACCCCAAACCGACACAGGUGGUCAGGUAGAGAAUACCAAGGCGCUUGAGAGAACUCGGGUGAAGGAACUAGGCAAAAUGGUGCCGUAACUUCGGGAGAAGGCACGCUGGUGUGUAGGUGAAGUCCCUGCGGAUGGAGCUGAGACCAGUCGAAGAUACCAGCUGGCUGCAACUGUUUAUUAAAAACACAGCACUGUGCAAACACGAAAGUGGACGUAUACGGUGUGACGCCUGCCCGGUGCCGGAAGGUUAAUUGAUGGGGUUAUCCGUAAGGAGAAGCUCUUGAUCGAAGCCCCGGUAAACGGCGGCCGUAACUAUAACGGUCCUAAGGUAGCGAAAUUCCUUGUCGGGUAAGUUCCGACCUGCACGAAUGGCGUAAUGAUGGCCAGGCUGUCUCCACCCGAGACUCAGUGAAAUUGAACUCGCUGUGAAGAUGCAGUGUACCCGCGGCAAGACGGAAAGACCCCGUGAACCUUUACUAUAGCUUGACACUGAACAUUGAGCCUUGAUGUGUAGGAUAGGUGGGAGGCUUUGAAGCGUGGACGCCAGUCUGCGUGGAGCCAACCUUGAAAUACCACCCUUUAAUGUUUGAUGUUCUAACGUUGGCCCCUUAUCGGGGUUGCGGACAGUGUCUGGUGGGUAGUUUGACUGGGGCGGUCUCCUCCCAAAGCGUAACGGAGGAGCACGAAGGUUAGCUAAUCCUGGUCGGACAUCAGGAGGUUAGUGCAAUGGCAUAAGCUAGCUUGACUGCGAGCGUGACGGCGCGAGCAGGUGCGAAAGCAGGUCAUAGUGAUCCGGUGGUUCUGAAUGGAAGGGCCAUCGCUCAACGGAUAAAAGGUACUCCGGGGAUAACAGGCUGAUACCGCCCAAGAGUUCAUAUCGACGGCGGUGUUUGGCACCUCGAUGUCGGCUCAUCACAUCCUGGGGCUGAAGUAGGUCCCAAGGGUAUGGCUGUUCGCCAUUUAAAGUGGUACGCGAGCUGGGUUUAGAACGUCGUGAGACAGUUCGGUCCCUAUCUGCCGUGGGCGCUGGAGAAUUGAGGGGGGCUGCUCCUAGUACGAGAGGACCGGAGUGGACGCAUCACUGGUGUUCGGGUUGUCAUGCCAAUGGCACUGCCCGGUAGCUAAAUGCGGAAGAGAUAAGUGCUGAAAGCAUCUAAGCACGAAACUUGCCCCGAGAUGAGUUCUCCCUGAGACUUUAAGUCUCCUGAAGGAACGUUAAAGACGAUGACGUUGAUAGGCCGGGUGUGUAAGCGCAGCGAUGCGUUGAGCUAACCGGUACUAAUGAACCGUGAGGCUUAACCU